UCCCACUACAUUCAAGACUCCAGUUCCUAC
RNAcentral lists this non-coding RNA (30 nucleotides) under Rattus norvegicus (Norway rat). Lineage: Eukaryota; Metazoa; Chordata; Mammalia; Rodentia; Muridae. The record is from RNAcentral.